CAAACAGUGGUUGAGGCUCAGUGGCAAUACAUCUAUGUUAAAGGUAACAUCUGGUCUUUGCUCCCUUGAAGGUGAUGCAUGCCUUAUAGUCAUUCCUUAUUAUAACACAUAAGGACACUGCUUGCCAGAACUCCUGUGAGAUAAAACCUUAGUCUUCUUUUACAGACAAUCACAGAGAAGUCAGUGAAUAAGCAAGCAAAACUUUGAAGUAUGUACAGUGAGGACUAAGCUGGAGGUGAUCUUUCCACAUUGGAAACAAAGUG
Meleagris gallopavo (turkey) is the source of this 263-nucleotide long non-coding RNA. RefSeq lists it as uncharacterized. The record is from RefSeq and is a predicted model, not a curated record. NCBI's taxonomy places the organism in Eukaryota, Metazoa, Chordata, Aves, Galliformes, Phasianidae.